This is an RNA transcript of Dunckerocampus dactyliophorus (ringed pipefish), 10099 nucleotides long. RefSeq lists it as uncharacterized. NCBI's taxonomy places the organism in Eukaryota, Metazoa, Chordata, Actinopteri, Syngnathiformes, Syngnathidae. The transcript is spliced from 3 exons. The record is from RefSeq and is a predicted model, not a curated record.
GGGGGGCAGGUGUGUUGCUGCUGUGUGAACACCAAACAAUUCAUUAAGAAUGUGUAUUUUACAGACCAUACAGAGGAGAGACACGACAGAAGCUUCAUAGUGGCGGGCAACGUGGCGGCGCGGCGUUCUGAAGCACGGCGGGAUGUGUCGGUGUGGUGCAAGGACUAACACGGGGGCGAGAUGCACUUCAUGGCUAUGAGCUGUGAGCUAGAGGGAUGGUGAAGUGGGUUUGUAGUGACAUCCCAACCGGCCAUAACGUUAUGAGAACCUGCACAAUCAAAUGAGAUUCAGUACUAAACCUGUACAAAGAUAAUACAGUAAAGUGGAACCUUUGUUAGGGCCAUGAAUUUGUUCCAGAAGGUCCGACUCUAACAGAAAGAGACGUUAACUGAAUCGAUUUUUCCAUCAAGACAUAAUGUAAAUCCAAUGAAUCAGUUCCAGAAAGCCACAAAUGUUAACAAAAAAUAUGUUAUAGUUUUACAAUUAUAGUUUUACAUGCAGAAAACAAUUUGAAAUGCAAAUGCAAUAUGUAAAUAUUUUACAUAUAAAAGAGAUAAAUGAAUAUUUAAGGUUAAUUUUACCUUAAUUGAUGACAGGAUUCUUGACGUGACCGAAAACAGGAAUGUAGUGGUGGUUGAUCUCGCUGCCACAUCGUGUCUUUGGGAACAGUCCCGUCUUCCGUGAAGGUAAAAGUAACUUUAAAUGUUCAUUCAUCCCUUACAUUCGCCAUGUAUUUGCAUUUAGAAUUGUUUUAUGCAUGUAAAACUGUAAUUGUAAAACUAUAAAAACGUGUUUUGUGUUCACAUUUUUGAGAGUCAGCCGCCGAUGACAUCAUAGAUGGGCAACGGAAUGCAGCUACUUCCAGUUGUGGUUGCGAUUUUUUUUAGCUAGCUAAUAGGAUGCCAACAAGGAAGGAUGUUUUGAUGCCAACAAGGAAGGAUGUUUUGUGAUAAAAAAAAAAACAAAAAAACAUUAAGAACACAGUUGGGCUUAAGCAGUGUAUUAACAACACGACAAGACGUGCACCAUAUUGUACAAUAACUGGAGAAUGUACGCAAACCGAGGCAAAAUUGCGGCGUAAAUUUCCGAUGUUAACCGAAAAACACGCUACCCGGAGCGGACGCUAACCGAGGUUCCGCGGUGUUCAGUUUGGAUCGACAUUGUCAGAAAGAUAUUGAUUUAACCGUGUUUAUUAUUGUGGUUGUCGUCUGCAGUCUGGUAGAACUGCACUGCAUCAUACUACUGUAUGUUCAUAAUAUUGUAGUUAACUGAUUUUGCAAAAUGAGAGUCAAAUUAUUAUACAGUGCAGUUCCACAUCACUGUAACCUAUAACCACAAAAAACCCAUAUUGUUAAAUUGUUCACACUCCCAUCAAUAUCGUGUGUUAUCAUUAUAUCCGCUAUAACGUGGGCGGUUAGUGUAUGUCUGCGUGUGCGCUUUGUUGAGAAUAUAAUAAGAUUAUACAACUACGGUCUAUUCACGUAACUUGAGUGAUUAACAAGUACUUUCCUUUUAGAAGAGAACGCAAUCAUGUUGUAAUCCUAACAUAAUAUAUUGCGCAAUGCAGUCUGUAUUAAUAAGCUAGAGAGCACAAGGAUGGAUAUUAAUGAUGAUCUAUGCAUAAGUGGCGCACAUGAGGCUGAAUUAUGUGUGAGAAUGAUGAAGGCGAGAAGUACAUGUUUGUGUUUACGCAUCUCUUUCUUUCUGUGUGUGUAGUCAGCUUCCCUCAGAUGUUGCAUGUGACUUCUGACCUCAGAGUUUGGGGUCAAGCCGUGACAAAUGAGAUGGCAGAGUUCUGGCCAGAACUGCAAACAUUCCACAACAAUCUUGUCCUCUACCACUCGUUUCAUAUCCGCGUAACCACCCCUCCACUGCACUUUUCCCUUUACGCUGCAUGUCUUUCAUGAACUGGGCAAAAAAAUGCUUUAUUGGGAUUGCUGUGGCAAACUUUACAUACAUUAAGAAUUACAGCAUGAGCUAAAAUUACAUUUCCCGAAAACGCCUGCCUUGUUUAAACAACAAAACAAAAUAGCAUGAUCUCGUAAGGGGUGAGGGGGCUGUGCAAGAGACUGGGAUAUUACGGCCAAGCACACUAUGUGAUUGUGUGUGUGAAAAGCUUGUCAGUGAUGUCAAGGAUGAGAAAUGUUGCAGUGUGAUUUUUACACACACUGCUGGCUCGAGCAUUUCCGGCAACAUUUCUCACUCUGCCUCCCUCACACCAUCCACUCUCCUGCAAUAUCCCCACAUUUUUCUAUCCUUACACAUCACCCUUCACCACCACAACAGCCCCCUCCCCCUUCCUUCACAGGCCUCCCUGUUCCUUCUCUGGCCAUUCUGUCUCCUUUUACCACUCGUCCCGGCUGUCCCAUCCUCACCCGAUGUCAACCUCACCCUUCUGCCUCUUUAGUUCUCCGCACAUUCAGUGCCUCCUCCUCUCUCCCUCUGCUUAUCUUCCUUGUCACGUUAUUCUCUAAUUUUCUAAAAAGCCACCAAAAGAGUGCAACCACCUGUGACUACUGAAAGCUCUAAAAAUGUUGUUCUUCACUAGGAAGCUAGUUAAGGUAAGUGGCAGCUCCUAUAUUGUGAUGACAAGGCAAAUAAGGCUUUUGGUUGUUUUUUUGGUUGGCUAAAUGUCAACCCCCUUUCCGUCAAAGCUUCACCCUAUGAAAACAAAAACACACACACUUACAGGACAAAAAGAAGUCUGGACCUGAUGCUUGAAUGUGCUUCUGUAAUUAUGUAAUUGUACUAAAAGGCACUGCAAUCCAAAUAAAAACAUCAUUUACAUAACGCGACUAUGUUUUGUUCCCCUCCUCUAUCUGAAUUGUGGUAUCAUUUGAUGUCUGCUACGGGAGCCAUUGGAGGCUACACAUGGCUGAACAUGGAACUUGACCUGGUCAAGAAUGUUUCCUCUCAGGGUGGGUGAUCACAUGAUGCAACAGCACAGAUGGAUCUGAGCUCUAAUGUACCGAGCAAUGGUGCCGAUUACGGCCAUGCUUUCUGCUUUAACAAUGUUUUUUUUCUCAGGCAUGAUGGUAAAGACAUUAUUGCAACAUUUUAAUAUUGCUGUGAAUCCAGGAUACAACUUAAAAUAGUCUCCACGUAGAAAUACAAGAUAGCGACAAAGCGCGACAAAUGAAGCCGUGCAACUGCCAUGUUAAGAAAAUUGUUGAUUGCCUGUAGCCAGUGUUUUUUGUUCUUUGCAGGACAGUUUGGUUAGUUUUCAACGGCAGAAAAUAAAUGUAACAAAAACAACUGAUCCAUAAUAUAUUACAGACUUAAAGACCUAAAGGCAAUCGGUUGAUUGGUUGACACAGAGAAUCCACCAAUGGAAUGCGAGAUCACAAAAUUCUCAAAAUAAGUUUGUCCUCUUCUUGUAAUAAAGAAAUAAACUAAUACAGAGAAGAAAGAACUCUUUUGUCUUUUUGUCAACAGUGCUGCGACAGUGUUAUACUAUUUUAGUAGCUGAUGUUGCUAUUGAGUGCAAAAGGAGGAAACAAGUGUGGUCCAAACAGUACCAUAGCAAGCUCAAGUGAAUGGUACCACUUGGUGGCUUUAUGGUCUAGUUUCACUUUCAAGCAUUGUCUUGGCAUUAAUGGUCAGCUUCCUGCGUGUAUGCGCAGUGUAAAUAAAUGAUUAAGCGCUGCAAAAACACUAAGUGUCAGCAAUCAGCUUGGAGUUGAAACAGGAAGUUAACGACAGACAAAUGGGAGAGAGGCGCAGGCAAAUGUGUAAGUUAUAGCCAUGACGCCAUUAGCAGAUUGUCAUGUUUAUGUCCCUUGCUCUGCUUCCUUCAUUCUAUGUCCACAGGCAGCUGAAAGAUGUUUAGAGGAAAAAAAAAAAAAAAGGCGCUCAAAGCUCCUUGAUUCCCUGCCACCACCCACGGUUCCGGCUGUGUUUUGGAGCGUGGAUGUCUGCCCUCGUCCCCCAGGGCACCGGUCCCACUUUAUCCCACCCCUUUUCAACCAACAAGCACCCAGCCCCCCGUUUCCGACCCCCAGUCCCUCCAUGCUCCUGCCUCACUCACUGAUUCAGCAGAAUGCCAGCGUCUGCCGUUUCCCACCUUUUCCACCAAGUCUUGCAGCUGUAAUAGACGGUAAUGGCUUAAGACAAAUCAACCCAUUUCUUGUAAAAAUAGCACCAAAUAACCCUCCCUACCCUGCAGUGUGCACUCUACUCACGCACACGCCAGGGGUUCGUGUGGUGGUAGUGGGGUAAAGAGUGGCCCGUCCAUUCACCCUUGGUCUCUGCUUCAACAUUGCUCUCCCUCUUCUACCCCUAAACCGGAAAAGCCACUCCAACUGAGACAUAAGUCUGUCGUACAUACACAUCCCUCUCAGACCUUACAAUGGAUGGGUAAUGACAGCACUGUCAGGGAGGGGUGGGGUGGUCAAGCCAUUCUUUCCAGUAAUGGAAGUGGUUACUGCUAUUCCCUACACACCUACAGGAACGAGGUAACCACUGUGAUCUAUAGCAAGGCCUGAUCACAGGAGGGCUGUACUGAUGCUGAUGAAUAAGAGCAUGUCUGCACAACACUUUUUUGUCUGUGGUUGUUAUUGCACGGUGUGUUAAGGAGCUCUGUAAAAGCAAUUUCUAAACAAAUAUGUACCAAUAAAUCAAUGGCGUUAUGGCUCUCAGCAUGGCAAGCUAACAAUCCAACAUUCCUGACAUUCGCUGAUUUAACACAGACAUAAGAUGCUACCACAUCUUUACUAGCCUGUCACUACUUUGAACGAUGGGAAAUCCAAGUUGCCGGUAACAUUAAGCACACCACUACAGGCUGACUGUCCUCAAACGCUUUCCAAUCCGAAAGAGAUUUAUGAGUAGGACCAGAUCCAUUAAUCCAUUGUCGAUUUGCUGUGGCUGCCCUGCGGGGUAUUCUAGUAUCAGAUAUCAGUGUUGAAACAUAGCCCAUUGUAAACCAGGGUACGUGGUAACAUCAUGACUCUUGUUAAAAUGUUCUACCAAAACACCAAGGAGAAGGUUGAGAAAGUUUCAAAUGAGAUAUAUUCACUGCUUUUCUAUCACACACCCAGCAUGACCGUCACACGUCCUUACAGACAAGUGAAGUUUUAAUGUGUAAAUCUGCAAACUGCAAUUUCACACAAAUACUAAUUAAUGUUGCUUUUGAGUCGAAUGAUGUUUGAUGUUGAUGUAUGAUGUUUGGGCAAUGCCAUGGCAUCACUGCUGCAGCACUGCUUCAAGUAAAUUCAACUCUCCCAAUCGAGUCACAUAAUCCACUGAGGAAUGGCGAUGCAAUUACUGACUGCAAAAAAAUAGUACAAUGCUAAGAAAAAAUAUUUUUUUGAUGUACUAAUUGUGUGAAUGCAUGAUUGUAAGCAUUUACAUUAGAACAGCGCUCAGUGGACUGUAAUACAGUGUUAUUGUCUAAAACCAAAUCGUAGAACAACUGAAACAAUAUUUCCCAUAGGAAAAAAUGUAAACACAAACACUCUUAACAUAGAACAAUUGUAGUUUUACAUGUAGGAAACAACAUAAAAUGCAUAUAAAUGAGAAAUUAAAAGGAUAAAUGAAAAUUUAACAUUGACUGAAGACUCUUGCUGGCGACAAUCGGAGAGACACACAGACAGUACCUUUGCAACAAGUUAUGGCAAUUUCUUUGGGCCCAUGGGGUUUAUUUUGCACCCGUACUUAAUAAAAAAAAAAGCAGUACACAGUACACACUUGCGGUAUAACGGUGUUAGAACUACAAUCUGUGGUGACAUCAAAUAGGGGCGACAGAAGUUGAGAGAAGGCUAACAGGCACGUUUUGUAAUAAAGGCACUUUACGAACACGGUGGACUCAGUCAGUGUAUCAAUAACACAACAAGACUGAGUCACCAAUGUGUGGGAUUUUAUUUUUCGGCUCUCAAGUUCGCUGAAUGAUACAUGAGAAUAUCGACUAGUUUGCGUAACAUUCUUAUUUGAGAUUGAUAAAUGAAUGUGCCUUACAGAUACCGUAGUAUUGAAUAAGCAAUCAAGUAUCACAAGAUUAGGUGUUGGGUGUGGUAAUUGUAAUGGUUUAAUUUAUUUGAACAUGCAAACAAGUUACAUUGGAAUACAUCACCUAAUACAAGUCACCGUUCCACAUGUCCAAAAGGAGUCGAAAGAAGCAAAGCUUAUUUCAUCCUAGCCCCCAUCUGUUUCACAUCAAUUGAAAUACAUUUGUUCACUUCCUGUAUUCCAAAAGUCUUCUUUGCUAAUUUAAAAUACAUAGGACAGUGAUAAGAUAAUGUAACAAUGUGGUAUAACAGUUGCCAAAGUUGUUGUCACCACAAAUAAUUGAUAUGACAGUCAUAAUAAAUACAGUAAUAAUAAGCAUAAAAUAGACAUAACAGAGCAUAGUUGGAUAAUGGGUGCGUACUGACAAUGAACUCACAAGAAUGAAGAGUUAGUAAUGAGUGUUGUAGUGAUUAGCAUUAGCAUUAAGUGUGAUGUGUGAUUUUGUUGGUGUGUGAUUCAAGAUGGCUGAAUAAACAAGCACCACUGGGAGGAGUCUGCCCACAUCUUUAUGAAUACCACAAGAUUUAACAUGCCAAAUGAUAAAAUACAACAGUUUGUUUCAGGCAAAAUUGUACAAUAACUGAGAUAUGUAUGUAUGAGAACCACGGCAAGAUUUUCACAAUGUUUUUGUCUAAAACAAAAUCUUACAAAACUGGGGUGCUCGAAAACCGAGGUCCCACUGUACUUUUAAUGCUGAAUACUGCUGAAGCAGAGUGAGUCCACAUUGUAACAAUGGCCUCAGCUACAAGACAAUAUAAUUGGUUCCUUGCAGUCAAUGGAACAGCGUCUAAAAAGCUAGUUGUGGUUUGUGCUUGGGGACAGACGACUGGUCACUUGGUGCUCCAAGGCAUCCCUCUGCUAACCUGGCCUCUCCCAGGUAAACCUCCACAAAGCCCCCGCAUGUCUGACAACAACAGGCCCUUCAAAUUCCACGCUUAGAUGCAGGCUUAGGUAAUGAUCCCUAGAUACUGUCUUUUCUCCAUUUCCAUCAUUGUCUGUCUUUCUUGAAGUGCUUGUUGCACAUCUUUCCUCAGGGGUCCUUGCCUUCUUAAGUGCCUCCAGAAAAGGUUAGCUAAUUGGAAGGUAACUGUCUGGCUGUGGUUGGACUUAUCUAAAUUGUGGGUACUUGAGUACAGGCUACACUCUCUUUGAUGAAGAGACAUACAGUAUGUAGAAUGAGUGAAGAAACAGAGAGGAUGUGUGGAGACAAAGGUUUUGCAUUUUGAAGUGUAUUUUGUAACUUACCUGUACUAGCAAAAGUGCAGGCUGCAUUUUAUGUAGAUUGCAAAGUAUACAUAUUGUACUAAAAUUAAAAUUGGUGUCUUACGCAUUUAUUUUUAUGAAAGUUCUUUUCUCCACGUAUGAGUGUUUUGUUUCCAUUUUAAGGAGCUCAAUGUGUUUUGCCUAUUGAUCCUAUACUGUACAUGCUAAGUGCCAAAAGCAGAAAAACCCACCCCUGGGUGAAAAAGUGUUUGCCCCCUAAACUCUAAACCAGGGCCACCCUUAGCAGCGGCAACUGCAAAUCAAGCAUUGGCGAUAACUUGCAAUGAGUCUCUUACAUCGCUGUGGAGGAAUUUUUGCCCACUCAUCUUUGCAGAAUUGUUGUGAUUCAGCCACAUUGGAGGGUUUUCCAGCAUAAACCGUCUUUUUAAGGUCAUGCCACAGCAUCUCAAUAGGAUUCAGGUCAGGACUUUGACUAGGCCACUCCAAGGUCUUCAUUUUGUUUUUCUUCAGCCAUUCAGAGGUGGACUUGCUUGUGUGUUUUGGACCCAAAUUCAUUUCAGCCUGAGGUCACAAACAGAUGGCUGGACAUUCUCCUUCAGAAUCUUUUGCUAGACAGUAGAAUUCAUGGUUCCAUUUAUCACAGCAAGUCUUCCAUGUUUUGAAGCAGUAAAACAGCCCCAGACCAUCACACUACCACCACCAUAUUUUACUGUUGGUAUGAUGUUCUUUUUCUUGAAAUGUGGCAUUACCUUUACACCAGAUGUAAUGGGACACACACCUUCCAAAAAGUUCAACUUUUGUAUUGUCAGACCACAGAGUAUUUUCCCAAAGGUCUUGGGGAUCAUCAAGAUGUUUUCUGGCAAAAUUGAGACAAGCCUUAAUGUUGUUUUUGUUCAGCUGUGGUUUUCAGCUGUGGUUUACAGCGCCACAUAGGUUUUGAUUUUUUUUUCUCUCUUAAUAAUAAAAAGUUUCAUUUAAAAACUGCAUUUUGUGUUCAGUUAUGUUGUCAUUGACAAAUAUUUAAAUUUGUUGGAUGAUCUGAAAAAUGUAAGUGUGACAAACAUGCAAAAAAAAAAAAAAGAAAUCAGGAAGCGGGCAAACAGUUUUUCACACCACUGUACAUAUAUAUAUACACAUAUAUAUAUAUGUCAAUAGGAGGAUUUAGCGUUUGCAUUGCCCCAGUCAAAGAUUGUGACUGACCAAUCAAAUAUUUCGAAAAGGUCCUCAAUAAUGCUGACAUGCAGACUAAUACAGUAUGGGACUGUGGGUGGUGGCAGGAGGCCUGCUGUGCUGGCUCCAAGCAGAAAGGAUGAACAAGAGGCCAAAAGGUUACUGGGCAGAUGUCAGCCCCCCCGCAACCUUUACUCGCAUAUAUGUGCGUUUGAUAGUGACAGGGGCAAUUAUAAAGGUAUAUUUCAGGCAGGUCAAAUGGGCGAGGGCAAAGUGCAGAACCUUGCAAGCACUGGCUGGAGUCAAAGGUUAGCACGGACAUAGGCAUCACAGAGCGCCGUCGGGCAGGGAAUAAUGGAAUCAGAGCAACAAAGACAUUGACCGAUGAGACGAGGAGAGAGGAAAUAUUGUCUAGUUUAUUUUGUAUUUAUAAUGACAAUACAUCACACAGGGCACUCCAGAUUGAAUCUCCAAUUAUGCCACUAAAUGAUUUCCUUUGUGUUCAGUACGAGACAGUCUUUGUGCUGCAUGUGUACUGUACACUGUCUGUGCAGGCAUCAAGCAUCACAACUUUUCAAUAUGAAUACGCCAAGGUCAAGGAAGGUCAGGGUAUGUAUUUAGCACCUGUGACCAAUACCAAAUGUAAAGGUCAAAGUAGAAUUGCCUGACUCUGAGCCAUACAACAUUUGCUCAUCCACAUUUAGAAUGCAUCCCAUUGGCAGUGAUUUAUGAAAGGAGAUAAGUACAUGGAUGGAAGAAAACACUGUCUUUCUCCUAUCCCGUCAGCCUCGGUAAAUACACUACUCACUCAUAUCAAUCACAGUGUCACAGUGAAUCGCCAGUGUAGGCUUCCUGCUCAGAUUAAAAACGGUCUUUUUUUCUUGCUCUGCGUUCUCGCUCAAGCUCUGGGGAGCACAUUGGCUGUAUUGUUCAGUAUUAGCAUUUCAAACAGCUGCGCUACAACUGUAGUUAUAUGUUGAAAGUCAGCAGUCUGCUUUUAGUUAUGUGCCAUGCACCAUGAAUAGAUUCCAUACACUAUCAACCAUAUGCAAGCAAGUCAUCAAUUAAACAUGAAGAUGCAAAGGGUAAAUUGGAUGAAUGAAAAGACUCAAAUUAAACUAAAAUUAAACUACAGUAUUCAAUCCUGGUAUUGUAUCUGUUUUGUGUACAUUGCAUAUGUAAGAUAUUGCAAUUAUCUCAGAAAACUGAAUGCAGAGACAAGCUGGAAUGUCGAAAAAAGAAACAAACUGACAAACCAACUGUUUUAUACAUCACAGUACCUCCUGUUACAAAGCAUUCUCAUUUUCUUAGUAUUAGCCAGACCCAGAUUAUUAAAUUAUUAUUAGCCAGAUUAUUUUGCCAAUCGUUAAUGAUUGGCAAAAUUUUCGCCAAUCAAAUUUGUCCCAGAGUAUAGAGCUCAAAUCAAAUGUUCCUGUUUUAUGGAGUUAUGAAUGACUGGACUGGAAUUAUUCUGGACUUGGACUGCACACGUGGUUUGGACCUUUGCCACUUCAGGUGCUUGUGGCCUGAACUGUUUUCAGUUUUCAUAAAAUAAUUUUUUCUUAAGUUAUUUCUGAUGAUUGGAAUGAAACAUGGGCAAAUUAUUGGUAAGGCAUGAGCAUGAAUACUUGAUUCUGAGCAUCGAGUUUCUGAUUGGAUUCUCAAAACAGGGCUCAGGGUUUGAGCAGAUUUUCUGAUAAUA